UUUGGGUUGUAAAGCUCUUUCGUCGGGGAAGAAAAUGACUGUACCCGAAUAAGAAGGUCCGGCUAACUUCGUGCCAGCAGCCGCGGUAAUACGAAGGGACCUAGCGUAGUUCGGAAUUACUGGGCUUAAAGAGUUCGUAGGUGGUUGAAAAAGUUGGUGGUGAAAUCCCAGAGCUUAACUCUGGAACUGCCAUCAAAACUUUUCAGCUAGAGUAUGAUAGAGGAAAGCAGAAUUUCUAGUGUAGAGGUGAAAUUCGUAGAUAUUAGAAAGAAUACCAAUUGCGAAGGCAGCUUUCUGGAUCAUUACUGACACUGAGGAACGAAAGCAUGGGUAGCGAAGAGGAUUAGAUACCCUCGUAGUCCAUGCCGUAAACGAUGUGUGUUAGACGUUGGAAAUUUAUUUUCAGUGUCGCAGCGAAAGCGAUAAACACACCGCCUGGGGAGUACGACCGCAAGGUUAAAACUCAAAUGAAUUGACGGGGACCCGCACAAGUAGUGGAGCAUGUGGUUUAAUUCGAAGAUACGCGCAGAACCUUACCAACACUUGACAUGUUCGUCGCGACUUUAAGAGAUUAAAGUUUUCGGUUCGGCCGGACGAAACACAGGUGCUGCAUGGCUGUCGUCAGCUCGUGUCGUGAGAUGUUGGGUUAAGUCCCGCAACGAGCGCAACCCUCACUUUUAGUUGCCAUCAUUAAGUUGGGCACUCUGAAAGAACUGCCAGUGAUAAGCUGGAGGAAGGUGGGGAUGACGUCAAGUCCUCAUGGCCCUUACGUGUUGGGCUACACACGUGCUACAAUGGUAUCUACAACAGGAAGCAAAACUGCGAGGUUAAGCAAAUCCUUAAAAGAUACCUCAGUUCGGAUUGCACUCUGCAACUCGAGUGCAUGAAGCUGGAAUUACUAGUAAUCGUGGAUCAGCGUGCCACGGUGAAUGCGUUCCCGGGUCUUGUACACACCGCCCGUCACACCAUGG
RNAcentral lists this ribosomal RNA (971 nucleotides) under marine metagenome. RNAcentral describes it as "bacterial SSU rRNA". It matches the Rfam family "Bacterial small subunit ribosomal RNA", at positions 417 to 1407 of the family's 1533-position model. The record is from RNAcentral.